UAGGAUAGAGGCCUACCAUGGUGGUAACGGGUAACGGGGUGUUAGGGCACGACACCGGAGAGGGAGCCUGAGAAACGGCUACCACAUCCAAGGAUGGCAGCAGGCGCGCAAAUUACCCAAUCCCGACACGGGGAGGUAGUGACAAUAAAUAACAAUACGGGGUUCUUUCGGAUCUCGUAAUUGGAAUGAGUACAAUUUAAAUCUCUUAACGAGGAACAAUUGGAGGGCAAGUCUGGUGCCAGCAGCCGCGGUAAUUCCAGCUCCAAUAGCGUAUAUUAAAGUUGUUGCAGUUAAAAAGCUCGUAGUUGAAUUUCGGGGUUAGUAGGUUGGUCAUGCUUCUGGUAUGUACUGGUCUCACUGAUUCCUCCUUCCUGAUGAACCGUAAUGCCAUUAAUUUGGUGUUGCGGGGAAUUUGGACUGUUACUUUGAAAAAAUAGAGUGUUUAAAGCAAGCUAACGCUUGAAUACAUUAGCAUGGAAUAAUGAAAUAGGACGUUCGAUCCCAUUUUGUUGGUUUCUAGGAUUGACGUAAUGAUUAAUAGGGAUAGUUGGGGGCAUUAGUAUUCAAUUGUCAGAGGUGAAAUUCUUGGAUUUAUUGAAGACUAACUACUGCGAAAGCAUUUGCCAAGGAUGUUUUCAUUAAUCAAGAACGAAAGUUAGGGGAUCGAAGACGAUCAGAUACCGUCGUAGUCUUAACCAUAAACUAUGCCGACUAGGGAUCGGAUGA
RNAcentral lists this ribosomal RNA (726 nucleotides) under uncultured fungus. RNAcentral's name for it is "SSU rRNA". It matches the Rfam family "Eukaryotic small subunit ribosomal RNA", at positions 329 to 1060 of the family's 1831-position model. The record is from RNAcentral. Lineage: Eukaryota; Fungi.